RNAcentral lists this ribosomal RNA (397 nucleotides) under uncultured bacterium. RNAcentral's name for it is "bacterial SSU rRNA". It matches the Rfam family "Bacterial small subunit ribosomal RNA", at positions 521 to 916 of the family's 1533-position model. The record is from RNAcentral.
UAAUACGGAAGGUGCAAGCGUUGUCCGGAUUGACUGGGUGUAAAGGGCGCGUAGGCGGAGAUGUGUGUCGGGAGUGAAAUCGUGCGGCUUAACCGUACAAUUGCUUUCGAAACUACAUCCCUUGAGUACAGAAGGGGUUGAUGGAAUACCUGGUGUAGCGGUGGAAUGCGUAGAUAUCAGGUAGAACACCGGAGGCGAAGGCGGUCAACUGGUCUGUAACUGACGCUGAGGCGCGAAAGUGUGGGGAGCAAACAGGAUUAGAUACCCUGGUAGUCCACACCGUAAACGAUGAUCACUAGUCGUCGGAGGAUUCGACCCCUUCGGUGACGUCGCUAACGCAUUAAGUGAUCCACCUGGGGAGUACGCUCGCAAGGGUGAAACUCAAAGGAAUUGACGG